This 283-nucleotide ribosomal RNA is filed under the name uncultured bacterium. RNAcentral's name for it is "partial 16S ribosomal RNA". It matches the Rfam family "Bacterial small subunit ribosomal RNA", at positions 29 to 303 of the family's 1533-position model. The record is from RNAcentral.
AACGAACGCUGGCGGCGCGCCUAAUACAUGCAAGUCGAGCGAGAAGACGUAGCAAUACGUUUGUAAAGCGGCGAACGGGUGAGGAAUACAUGGGUAACCUACCCUCGAGUGGGGAAUAACUAGCCGAAAGGUUAGCUAAUACCGCGUACGCUCCUUGGACUUCGGUUCAGGGAGGAAAGCGAUACCGUGGGUAUCGCGCUCUUGGAUGGGCUCAUGUCCUAUCAGCUUGUUGGUGAGGAACGGCUCACCAAGGCUUCGACGGGUAGCUGGUCUGAGAGGACGA